RNAcentral lists this ribosomal RNA (29 nucleotides) under Lathyrus oleraceus (garden pea). Its description in RNAcentral is "Pisum sativum (pea) partial 26S ribosomal RNA". Lineage: Eukaryota; Viridiplantae; Streptophyta; Magnoliopsida; Fabales; Fabaceae. RNAcentral also lists the same sequence under 1 other name. The record is from RNAcentral.
AUGAGACCUCAGGUCAGGCGGGGCUACCC